Molecule: ribosomal RNA, 488 nt
Filed under: uncultured bacterium
Lineage: Bacteria
Description: partial 16S ribosomal RNA
Rfam family: Bacterial small subunit ribosomal RNA
Source: RNAcentral
GAUGAACGCUGGCGGCGUGCUUAACACAUGCAAGUCGAACGGACAGGCCCUGCUUUUGUGGGUUGCUCGAGUGGCGAACGGGUGAGUAACACGUGAGUAUCCUGCCCUUGACUUUGGGAUAACUUCAGGAAACUGGGGCUAAUACCCGAUAUGAUCUCCUGCUGCAUGGUGGUGGUUGGAAAGUUUCGGCUGUUGUGGAUCUACUCGCGGCUUAUCAGCUUGUUGGUGUGGUAGUGGCUUACCCAGGCUUUGAUGGGUAGCCGGCCUGAGAGGCUGGUCAGCGAGACUGGAAAGGAGACACGGACCAGAGGCAUAGGGGAGGCAGCAGUAGGGAAUAGGGGGCAAGGGGCGAAAGACUGAGGGAGCAACGCCGAGUGAGUGAGGAAGGUCGUCGGAUGGGAAAACACGGUUAGGAGGGAAGAACAAAUGUGGAAGUAAAGAGGAACGUGGUGAAGGGAAAUAGGCAAAAAGACACGGCUAAAUAAGUG